GGGCCCGUAGCACAGUGGUAGUGCGUGUGAUUCCAGAGAUGGAAUGGUAUAUCCACAAGGUCAUCCGUUCAAUCCGGGUCGGGCUCA
Non-coding RNA from Chiua virens, 87 nucleotides. The record is from the annotation of a GenBank genome assembly. Lineage: Eukaryota; Fungi; Basidiomycota; Agaricomycetes; Boletales; Boletaceae.